GGCAGAGUAGAGAAAUGGUAUCUCGCAAGGCUCAUAACCUUGAGAAUGUCGGUUCAAGUCCGACCUCUGCAACCA
Molecule: transfer RNA, 75 nt
Filed under: Ruminococcus sp.
Lineage: Bacteria; Bacillati; Bacillota; Clostridia; Eubacteriales; Oscillospiraceae
Description: tRNA-Met
Rfam family: tRNA
About the family: Transfer RNA (tRNA) molecules are approximately 80 nucleotides in length.
Source: RNAcentral